This 432-nucleotide ribosomal RNA is filed under the name uncultured bacterium. RNAcentral's name for it is "partial 16S ribosomal RNA". It matches the Rfam family "Bacterial small subunit ribosomal RNA", at positions 29 to 506 of the family's 1533-position model. The record is from RNAcentral.
AACGAACGCUGGCGGCAUGCCUAACACAUGCAAGUCGAACGAGACCUUCGGGUCUAGUGGCGCACGGGUGCGUAACGCGUGGGAAUCUGCCCUUGGGUUCGGAAUAACAGUUGGAAACGACUGCUAAUACCGGAUGAUGACGUAAGUCCAAAGAUUUAUCGCCCAAGGAUGAGCCCGCGUAGGAUUAGCUAGUUGGUGAGGUAAAGGCUCACCAAGGCGACGAUCCUUAGCUGGUCUGAGAGGAUGAUCAGCCACACUGGGACUGAGACCCGGCCCAGACCCCUCCGGGGGGCAGGAGUGGGGAAUAUUGGAAAAGGGGGCAAAGCCUGAUCCACCAAUGCCGGGUGGGGGAAGAAGGCCUUGGGGUUGUAAAGCUCUUUUACCCGGGAUGAUAAUGACGGUACCGGGAGAAUAAGCCCCGGCUAACUCCGU